GAUGAACGCUGGCGGCGUGCCUAAUACAUGCAAGUCGAGCGAACAGAUGAGGAGCUUGCUCCUCUGACGUUAGCGGCGGACGGGUGAGUAACACGUGGAUAACCUACCUAUAAGACUGGGAUAAUUUCGGGAAACCGGAGCUAAUACCGGAUAAUAUAUUGAACCGCAUGGUGCAAUAGUGAAAGACGGCUUUGCUGUCACUUAUAGAUGGAUCCGCGCCGCAUUAGCUAGUUGGUAAGGUAACGGCUUACCAAGGCAACGAUGCGUAGCCGACCUGAGAGGGUGAUCGGCCACACUGGAACUGAGACACGGUCCAGACUCCUACGGGAGGCAGCAGUAGGGAAUCUUCCGCAAUGGGCGAAAGCCUGACGGAGCAACGCCGCGUGAGUGAUGAAGGUCUUCGGAUCGUAAAACUCUGUUAUUAGGGAAGAAAAAAUGUGUAAGUAACUAUGCACGUCUUGACGGUACCUAAUCAGAAAGCCACGGCUAACUACGUG
RNAcentral lists this ribosomal RNA (497 nucleotides) under uncultured bacterium. RNAcentral's name for it is "partial 16S ribosomal RNA". It matches the Rfam family "Bacterial small subunit ribosomal RNA", at positions 28 to 507 of the family's 1533-position model. The record is from RNAcentral.